This 75-nucleotide transfer RNA is filed under the name Treponema sp. Its description in RNAcentral is "tRNA-Arg". It matches the Rfam family "tRNA". Rfam says of the family: Transfer RNA (tRNA) molecules are approximately 80 nucleotides in length. Their secondary structure includes four short double-helical elements and three loops (D, anti-codon, and T loops). The record is from RNAcentral. Lineage: Bacteria; Pseudomonadati; Spirochaetota; Spirochaetia; Treponematales; Treponemataceae.
GAGGUUGUAGCUCAGUCUGGAUAGAGCAUCAGAUUGCGGAUCUGAAGGUCGCACGUUCAAGUCGUGUCAGCCUCA